ACGAACGCUGGCGGCGUGCUUAACACAUGCAAGUCGCACGGAAAGGCCCUGCUUGCAGGGUACUCGAGUGGCGAACGGGUGAGUAACACGUGGGUGAUCUGCCCUGCACUUCGGGAUAAGCCUGGGAAACUGGGUCUAAUACCGGAUAGGAGCCAUUUUUAGUGUGAUGGUUGGAAAGUUUUUUCGGUGUAGGAUGAGCUCGCGGCCUAUCAGCUUGUUGGUGGGGUAAUGGCCUACCAAGGCGGCGACGGGUAGCCGGCCUGAGAGGGUGGACGGCCACAUUGGGACUGAGAUACGGCCCAGACUCCUACGGGAGGCAUCAGUGGGGAAUAUUGCACAAUGGGCGCAAGCCUGAUGCAGCGACGCCGCGUGGGGGAUGACGGCCUUCGGGUUGUAAACUCCUUUCGCUAGGGACGAAGCUUUUUGUGACGGUACCUAGAUAAGAAGCACCGGCUAACUACGU
RNAcentral lists this ribosomal RNA (463 nucleotides) under uncultured bacterium. Its description in RNAcentral is "partial 16S ribosomal RNA". It matches the Rfam family "Bacterial small subunit ribosomal RNA", at positions 29 to 506 of the family's 1533-position model. The record is from RNAcentral.